AAAUACAGGUGUUCAAGAAAAAAAUUGGUUGAUUCUUUUUUUAUCUGAAAUUCAACUUGACUUCAAAAAAGAUGAGGACGUAUGUCUUGAUCCUUGUGCUGUGUGUUCUAUCACUGGGAGUGGUCGAUCCCGUUGUCAGUCAAGACUACUCGUGUAGGAGGGGUUGCACCAGACGCCAGUGCUCCGCAGAGUGUAGACUCGGAGGACUUCGUUAUGGAUUUUGUGUACCUUGUGGGUUCUGGAGAAGCAGAUGUACUUGCUAUUUUCUCUAAGAAAAUGUACACAACAGAGCAUUGAUAUUACUCAGAAUAAAUGAAAAUAAAAAAAUAUCGCCAUUUUA
Saccostrea cuccullata (small rock oyster) is the source of this 340-nucleotide long non-coding RNA. RefSeq lists it as uncharacterized. The record is from RefSeq and is a predicted model, not a curated record. The transcript is spliced from 2 exons. Lineage: Eukaryota; Metazoa; Mollusca; Bivalvia; Ostreida; Ostreidae.